RNAcentral lists this ribosomal RNA (250 nucleotides) under uncultured bacterium. Its description in RNAcentral is "partial 16S ribosomal RNA". It matches the Rfam family "Bacterial small subunit ribosomal RNA", at positions 524 to 773 of the family's 1533-position model. The record is from RNAcentral.
UACAGAGGGUGCAAGCGUUAAUCGGAAUUACUGGGCGUAAAGGGCGCGUAGGUGGUUGACUAAGUCAGAUGUGAAAUCCCUGGGCUUAACCUAGGAAUUGCAUUUGAUACUGGUCAGCUAGAGUGUGGGAGAGGGAAGUGGAAUUUCCAGUGUAGCGGUGAAAUGCGUAGAUAUUGGAAGGAACACCAGUGGCGAAGGCGACUUCCUGGACCACUACUGACACUGAGGCGCGAAAGCGUGGGGAGCGAAC